RNAcentral lists this ribosomal RNA (573 nucleotides) under Pseudopithomyces maydicus. RNAcentral's name for it is "eukaryotic LSU rRNA". It matches the Rfam family "Eukaryotic large subunit ribosomal RNA", at positions 62 to 648 of the family's 3401-position model. The record is from RNAcentral. Lineage: Eukaryota; Fungi; Ascomycota; Dothideomycetes; Pleosporales; Didymosphaeriaceae.
AAAGCAACAGCGAUAGCCUCAGUAACGGCGAGUGAAGCGGCUACAGCUCAAAUUUGAAAUCUGGCCUCCUUUGGUGGUCCGAGUUGUAAUUUGCAGAGGAUGCUUUGGCAUUGGCGGCGGUCUAAGUUCCUUGGAACAGGACAUCGCAGAGGGUGAGAAUCCCGUACGUGGGCGCCUGCCUUUGCCGUGUAAAGCUCCUUCGACGAGUCGAGUUGUUUGGGAAUGCAGCUCUAAAUGGGAGGUAAAUUUCUCCUAAAGCUAAAUACCGGCCAGAGACCGAUAGCGCACAAGUAGAGUGAUCGAAAGAUGAAAAGUACUUUGGAAAGAGAGUCAAAUAGCACGUGAAAUUGUUGAAAGGGAAGCGCUUGCAGCCAGACUUGCCCGCAGUUGCUCACCCAGGCUCUCGCCUGGGGCACUCUUCUGCGGGCAGGCCAGCAUCAGUUUGGGCGGUCGGAUAAAGGCUCCUGUCAUGUACCACCCCUCGGGGUGGCCUUAUAGGGGGGGCGUAAUGCGACCAGCCCGGACUGAGGUCCGCGCAUCUGCUAGGAUGCUGGCGUAAUGGCUGUAAGCGGC